AUUUUCUAACAAAAAUUUUUACCAAAAUUGAUUCAAGAUAUAUUAUAAAUCAUGAAACUUGAAAGAAAUUAUUAGGUGCAAUUAUUAUAUGUAUAACAAUCAAUCUUGACUGUUGAUUAUAAUGAGACUCACAUAAAACUCAUCUUAAUUAACGAUUAUGAUACAACUAUUGUGCAUACAAUUGUUUCAACUAUUAGUAUUCUAAAAUUUUUCAAUGUGUAGAGAAGUUUUUCCCAUAAGUCCGGCAUGAAUUUUGACUAGAGAUAUAUAUUGCAAGAAACGACAAUUAAGUCAUACAAAUGGGAUCCUAAUUUCAAAUGUAGGUGAAGCUACCUUUAAAGUGGAAGACAAAUAAUGGGGAAUAUUGGACCCCAACCCUCUUCAACAGUCAAACUGGCUUGAUUUCUUUGUUAAUUUCUUGGUCGCUAGUAGCUAGGGUGUAACUUCAUUAGGUUUUUGAUUAUUUCUCCAAUCGUCUUGGCUAAACUCACUCACCUAAAUCAAUUAUGAAUUAUUUGAAAAUGGAUUUCAUCACUUUUGUUUCUUCUCUUUCGUUUUCUUUCUUGUGACAACGAUUUGAAUCCUUAUAAUGACGCUACAGCACUGUUAUAUAUGACUGAUUGAUCAUUAUUUGUGGGGAAACUUGAAUUUGCAACCAUGUAUUUGUAAAGAAAUAUCAUUCCGGAAAAAAAAAAAAUCAAUUACCUGGUCAUUCAAUUAUCAGAUUAUUGACAGCAUUGUAUCCUGAUCGUUAGCUAGCUAGUUUUUCUUUAUAUACCAAAGUUUUAAUUCAUUGCAUAGUUAUUAGUUUGCCCAAAAAGGAUAUACACACAUAUGUCUAUGGCUGUUGCAGCUGAGGAUCUUGAAGCCGGGACGCGAAAACCGAAGUUUCAAACAGAACCCACCUUGCCGAUUUUUCUCAAGGUAUAUAAUAUAAUAGCUAUCUCAUUGCCUGGCAUGCAGGCCAUUAUAUAUAGAUAUGGCUGUAUCUUCUUCUUCAUUGUCCAAGAGCAUGCACUGGUAUCUUCAAUGUGGUAUGGUGCCUUGGAUUGAUUUCAUAUACAUAUUCUAUUUGGACAGGCAAAGAUGGAGAAUUAUGUAGCAAUCAACGCGAUCCAUAGAAAAAGGCUAGCAUGGUCAGAUUUAGUCUUGUACAGAGAGAGAGUUUCAUGUUCUAAUAUGACACGUUAUUGUACAAGACUAAGGACUUUCAUCAAGUACAUUAAUUUCUUCCAACUUGCAUGAAAAUAAUGAAAUUUAAUUACCUUAAAAUAAGCAUGCAUUUGAAGAUUAGCUAUCUUCGAUAUCCUUCAAGUAGUCUUAGAGUAUGCUGUUGGCCCUGAGUCAGAGCUCAAGCAUUGAAUAUACAAGUAAUGCUUAUGCUUUGCUAUGGAAAGAAGGUUAUGGACAUUUUUUGUCGAUAAGUUUAUUGAGUCUUUGUUGGUUAUUUACAUACACUACUACUAUAUCAUGAAUUAUGUAAUUAAUUGCCAUAAAUUUACUGAUCAAGAAAAGAUUUGUUAUUGUUUUUUCCUGGAAUGGAUGUGCAGUUCACAGAUGUGACUUACAAGGUGAUUAUCAAGGGGAUGACCUCGACGGAGGAGAAGGAUAUCUUGAAUGGAAUCACUGGUUCAGUGGAUCCAGGACAAGUCUUGGCACUCAUGGGACCUUCAGGAAGUGGAAAGACAACACUCUUGAAUCUGCUCGGUGGCAGAAUAAUUCAGCCCACUGUUGGCGGUUCAAUCACUUACAAUGAUCAGCCAUAUUCCAAGUCUCUGAAAAGUAGGAUAGGAUUUGUCACUCAAGAUGAUGUUUUGUUUCCUCACCUUACAGUGAAAGAAACAAUAACAUAUGCAGCCCUCCUUCGAUUGCCAAAGACACUGACUAAGGAACAGAAGGAAAAGCGGGCCACAGAUGUCAUCUACGAGCUAGGCUUAGAGAGGUGCCAAGACACCAUGAUCGGAGGCUCAUUUGUCCGCGGAGUCUCAGGCGGCGAAAGGAAACGAGUUUGUAUUGGAAAUGAGAUUAUAAUAAAUCCUUCUGUUUUGUUUCUUGAUGAAGCAACCUCUGGCUUGGAUUCCACAACUGCUUUAAGGAUAGUUCAGAUGUUGCAGGAUAUAGCAGAGGCCGGGAAAACAGUGGUAACAACAAUCCACCAGCCAUCAAGUAGACUCUUCCACAAGUUUGACAAGUUGAUCCUUCUUGGGAAAGGAAGCUUGCUCUAUUUUGGACAAGCAUCAGAAGCAAUGUCCUACUUCUCAUCUAUCGGUUGUAACCCUCUAAUUGCCAUGAACCCAGCUGAGUUCUUGCUAGACCUUGCAAAUGGAAACAUAAAUGAUGUUUCUGUACCAUCAGAAUUGGAGGAUAAAGUCCAAACGGAGGACUCAGAUACCGAAACAAGAAAUGGGAAGCCAUCUCCUAAAAAUGUACAUGAGUAUCUCGUGGGAGCCUACGAGACACGAGUUGCAGAAAAGGAGAAGAAGAAACUUAUGGUUCCUAUACCCCUUGAUGAGGAGGUGAAGUUGAAAGUGUCUUCUCCCAAGCGACAAUGGGGAGCAAGCUGGUGGGAACAAUAUACCAUAUUGUUCUGUAGAGGAAUCAAAGAACGGAGGCAUGACUAUUUCAGCUGGUUGAGGAUAACCCAAGUUCUUUCCACUGCAAUUAUCUUGGGACUCCUAUGGUGGCAAUCAGAUAGUAGCAGCCCCAAAGGCCUGCAAGAUCAGGCAGGGCUGCUUUUCUUCAUUGCUGUUUUCUGGGGAUUCUUUCCUGUCUUCACUGCCAUCUUUACAUUUCCUCAAGAAAGAGCUAUGCUAAAUAAGGAACGUGCAGCAGACAUGUAUAGGCUUAGUGCUUAUUUCUUGGCAAGGACUACAAGUGAUCUACCACUUGAUCUGAUACUACCAGUGCUUUUCCUUGUAGUUGUAUAUUUCAUGGCAGGCUUGAAAAUGAGUGCUGGUCCCUUUUUUCUUAGCCUUCUCACAGUUUUCCUCUGUAUUGUUGCCGCGCAGGUAAAGCUUAAUUUCUGGGAAGAGUAAUAAAAUUUAAAUAUAUACCUCAAACAAUCAAUCCUAAUUUGUGUAUAUAACCAAGGAUGGCUUUAAUGGCAGCAGGGACUCGGAUUGGCUAUUGGAGCUACAUUAAUGGACUUGAAGAAGGCUACAACACUUGCUUCAGUAACUGUGAUGACCUUUAUGCUGGCUGGAGGAUACUUUGUGAAGGUAAAAACAUGGACAAUCUGAUUAUAGUUCAUAAUCUACAUUAAUUAUUCAAAUUACCCUGUUAUAUAAUCAAUAAUUUGAAUGAAUUUUCUUAUAAUAAUUCGAUUAUAGAUUCGCAACACCCGGUGCAUUUCACCAGAUCCCAUUUGCACAAUAGGGAAAAUUACUCAACAUCCAAUAUUGAAGUUUCAUCAGAGCAUAAAAUGGUCAAGGGUGAAGUGUAUUCUUUCAGGGAAAAAGGGAAACACUAUCUCUCCCAAAAUAAAUGCUGACUCCACAUUUUCUCAAGCUUGGAUUGGCAUUCAGUUAUAGAAAAUGUAAUAGUUAAUACAUAGUCUUCUCUUCCUUAUGCAGAAAGUUCCAAUAUUCGUUGCUUGGAUCCGCUAUAUGUCUUUCAACUACCAUACUUACAAGCUUCUUCUCAAGGUGCAAUAUGAGCACAUGCUGCCCCCCAUCAGAGGACUGAGAAUAGGCAAUGGUUUAAUGGAAGUAAGUGCCCUGGUGGCUAUGGCUUUUGGCUACCGCCUCUUGGCAUACAUUUCUUUGAGGAAGAUGAAGCGCAAUUGUGGAGUCUAGUAGCCUACAAAUUUCAGAAGAACAUAAAUCUGAAAUGCUAUCCCCCAAUUCUGAGUUUGACUGCUUGACGAGCCAUCUUGUGAAAGCUCACAUUCCAGGGUAGAUUUUUAAGGGAAACUGACAAGGAACCAUCAGAUUUGUACCUCCAGGAUGUUCUAUGCAUCAUAAUAGCAUCAAUAGGAACAUUACAAGCUAUCUUAGGAAUGUGAGGAGGUAAGAGGAUUUUUUUUCUGUGGAGAAUAAUGGUAUCACAUCACCAGACGCUCAUCUUCACAGGCUGGUCUUUCAUAUUAUUUACAUGCAAUGAUGUGAUAUUUUUCAAACCUAACUAAACAUCAAUCAUCCAUAAUAAUUGAUUUUGGUAAUGUACUUCUUAAGUGUUUAGAGAAUGAAAGCUUUUUUGAACCUGGUGAUUUUGUUUCCCAGAAAAUUUGCAGCGCUGCCACUUAGAUACAUGUACAUAUACAUAGAACCACCGGUAAUCAUGCACAAAUGGAAGGGGGGAAAAAAUAAACGAAAAAUAAAAUGAAAUGAAAGAGAGAAAGAAAGACUGCUCUAUAGCUAUGUACAUGGUGCAACCUCGGGGACAUGUAAAUGAGUAAUACAGAAGAUGAUUCAAGUGCGUGAAAAUUUGUUACAUAUCAGGAUACCUGCCUUACUUCAAUAGCUAGGAGAUUUUCAUUUGGCUUUGACCGUUGUUGCCACUCAGCAACCCUUCCAUGCUUAUCAGUAAAAAUUUCACAAUGUAAGUUGUGUUUUUUGCUUUCCCCAUCGCACAACUCAUGCCAAUGUUCUUAACCAGCCAAGAAGUCGAAGGAGAGCAGCAUCCAAUACAGGGGAAUUUUUCUCCAGUCCAAUGUCAGCAGCUACUCGAUGAGCACACAUAACUCCUGAAAAGGCUACAGCUAUCACACCCUGUCCUGGAAAGCAGCUAUCCCCAACACAGUAAAGACCAUCUAUAGCUGUUGUAUUGAAUGGCAUUCCAAGCAAACCUUUAGGAGUUCUACGUGGCAUUGGUCCAUAGGUGCCUUUAUCACGAGCUAGGUAUCGCCUGUGUGUCUUCGGUGACCCCACCUCCAUAAAAUAAAUUGAUGAUCUGAGCCCUGGAAACAGUUUCUUCUCCAAUCUGCUUAUAAUCACAUUUGCCACAAGCUCCUUCUUUGCCUGAUAGUCCUUUGGAGGGAGUUCCUCCCAGUCUUCUAUGGAAGAAGUUGUAAAUAUGUGAAGAAUAUGGUGCCCCUUGGGAGCUAGUGAUGAAUCAAGAACGGUUGGAAUGCUUAAAAAUAUACUGCCAUAAGGCUCCUCUAAUCUUGCCCAGUCAUCCUCAAGCACAAAAUGAUGGCAAUCUGUAUCUGGUGGCAGAACAUCAGCUUUAACACCCAUGUGAAUGGAAAGAAAAGAUGGAGCCUUAACAUAAACUUUUUGGAAAUUUUCUUCUUCUUUUGGAAUCUUUUCUCCUUUUAACAACUUUCCAAAGGUAUCCCAUCUGGUAGCAUUGGAUAUUAUGGUUUUGGCAAAGAACUCUCUUCCAUCUGACAGCCUCACUCCCACAGCCUUUCCAUGCUCUAGUAUGACAUUAGUCACAUUUGCCUUGUAUAGGAUCUCACUCCCCUGUUCAACCAGACCAUUAGCCAAGGACUUAGCGAUACCACCAACACCACCAACAGGGUAGUUAAUCCCUCCAAAAUGCCUAUCACAUAGAACCAUGCUCGCAUUAAUCAUUGGUGUCUGUAAUGCCUUAACUGUGCUCACUAUAAAACACUCUGCAUCAAUAAAAGACAAUAACUCAGGAUCCUUUAUGUACUUUCGAGCUAUGUCUCCAGCAUUUUGGGGAAGGUAAUAAGCUGCAGAAAAAGAAGCAUUAUGAUAGGAGAAAUUAUUAUAUAAACUAGCACAAUGCUCACUGCUCUUCCAUUUAAGUGUGGUCCACCUAUGAAAUUUACCUAUGGAUCCACAUAAAUGUGAGAGAAGAGAGCAAUGUACCAAGUUUCACUGAAAAAGAAGGAUUUCAUGGGCAGCAGGAAUUACAAGAAGAGAGAUCUGAAAAAUUAGAAAUUCAUGCAGUCAUCACUGCUAAAAACAGGAGAUAUAAGCAGGUAUUACAGAGGAGCUAAUGUCCAAAGUGCUGUAACUUCCACCCUUGAUAGUCCCAGUCACUACUAGAUCAUAACUAACCUAGAAGAUCAUCAUAAUCACUUGUAACAGGCUCCGAAUUCAUACAAGUUGCAAAAUUUUCUAAACCAUUCAAACUUUCUGUAAUCAUAUGAAUUUUCCAGUCUCCAUUCUUUCACCAACAUGUUGUCUGUUCAAGUGGUUAGUCCAGAAGAAACAUAUGUUAUGCUAAAAUGACCUAGAAAUUACAAUUACAAUGAGAAGUCCUUGAGCAGAGAGGAAAUAAAAUACUUUAAGUUGCAACAGCAAUAAGUUUUGCGCAUCAAUAUAUCUUUCAUCAUUUACAAGUUUGAUGGAACUGAAUGGUGUAUUUUCCUCUUGUUUAAAUAACUUUUCUAGCACCAUAUGGAUUCAUAAAUAUAAAUAUCUGACAGAUUUUCCUUAGCAAAUGAAGUUGGAGAACUAAAAGAACCCCAUACCUGUACUGCAAUUGAGAUUAUGAAAAGCCAAGAAAAAAAAAAUGUAUUAACCAUAAAAUUCACAUUUAAAUUGAUUAAUUGAUUCAAAAGGAAAAAGAAAAAGUAAGAAACUAAUACCCAGUGUCAAACAUUCGAGGGGCUUCUGAAAGAACUGUCCAAACAAGUAAAUUGGCUCCUCUAGUGACUUCAAUUCCAAUGAGUUUAAGGCAUUGAAUAUCUUCCAACAUUCACCAUAGAAUUUAAGGAUCCCUUCCUUUUCAUGGGGAAAUCUAGUAGUAAGUUCUGAGAUGAAGUCACUGUAUUCUCUAUGAACUUGAACAGAAAGAUUAUUCGGUAGAUGAAAAUGGACAGUGGUUGGAUCAGGAAUCACCUCCAUUGUACAACCAACUGCUGCCAAUGCUUGUGUUAUCAAAUUCAAGUUUCCCUUAUCACUGAAACCAAACAUCACAGAAGACCCAACAUCGAAAGUAUAACCAUCCCUCUGGUAGUACCCAGAGCUACCACCAGGAAUCACGUACUUCUCCAAAACCAAAACCCUAGCUCCCUUCACCGCCAGCUGUGUGGCAGCAACCAAACCGCCAAUACCAGACCCUAUAACAAUGGCAUCAUAGUUGCUACUCUCCCUGCUGACUCCUCCAUUCCCUUCUACAUCCACAUCUUUAUCCAGACUCAAAACUGGCUUUGACCUCAAAACAAAAUCUUUAUUCAACCGGCAAAAGCCUGACUUCACUUUACCAAGCUUCUGACUACUAUCGAAACCGGGUAUGGAAUUAUAUUUAUUGAGAUUGUAAGAAUCGAAGGAAAUGGAAGGUUUGGCAGGUUCAAAAGAGAAAAAUCUACAUUUCAGGCUUCUGGGUCUGAAGCUACCCAACUGCACAGUACUGCUGAGUCCUGAACUCAUUUCGGUAAAGGUUGAAGCUGCGGCAAUCAAAGGUUUUGGCUUGUGGAUCUUAAAGCAAUCAAUUGUUAGGUGCUUUCGUGGGUGAAAAGCUAAAUUAUUUGGGUGUUAUCGCUGAAUAUAGAAGUGGAAUCGGGUAGUGGAGGAUGAGUUUGUGUGAUUCCAAGUCAUGAUUCUUACACAAUGGAGGGAAGACGAGGACAAACAAAACAAGAUUAUACUAACGGUUUUU
This 7515-nucleotide unclassified non-coding RNA is filed under the name Hevea brasiliensis (rubber tree). The record is from RNAcentral. Lineage: Eukaryota; Viridiplantae; Streptophyta; Magnoliopsida; Malpighiales; Euphorbiaceae.